Molecule: ribosomal RNA, 177 nt
Filed under: uncultured bacterium
Lineage: Bacteria
Description: partial 16S ribosomal RNA
Rfam family: Bacterial small subunit ribosomal RNA
Source: RNAcentral
ACUCCUACGGGAGGCAGCAGUGGGGAAUAUUGCACAAUGGGCGAAAGCCUAAUGCAGCAACGCCGCGUGAGGGAUGACGGCCUUCGGGUUGUAAACCUCUUUUAGUAGGGAAGAAGCGAAAGUGACGGUACCUGCAGAAAAAGCACCGGCUAACUACGUGCCAGCAGCCGCGGUAAU